AAAUUUUGUUUGGCGAUGCUCACAAACGGAGUUUGCUAGCAUUUGGCUGAAUUUAUCACAGUUGGCGUCUGGUAGCCCAGUUGCCAUUUGGAGAAAACAUAUGAUGGUUGCCCUUCAAUGUUUUUAUCUUGGACAUUAAUGAGAAAUUGUCGAUGAAUGCAAAUUCGUUGGCCGGUUGAUACAUAGUUGAACUGUCCUAAUAAAUCCAUGACAAAAAUUUGCCAAAAUUCAAACUUACUAUUUGUUGUUUUUUUAUUAUUAUCAUCAUAUAUUAGUUUGUUUUACAAUUUGUUCACAUUUGUAUAACGAAGGUAAUCUGGAGUCGUUGGAAAUAUUACGAGGGAUUUCAACGAAUUUGGGUUAUCUUUUAUCUGGUAUAUCGUAUUCCUAAAUUGACUUCUGUUGGUUUCUUUCGAAUAUUUAAUAAUAAGAUUUAAUCAUUCAGCAUUAAAUCAAUUUAAUAAAUUGAGAGUAUCGUCUGCUAAACUAGAGUUAACUUUUCUUUAAUUUUGACGGACUUAAGCGUCUUUUGUUAACCUACAUUUUUCAUAAGCGGUUUUCCCGCUUUUAUUUGGUAUAAAAUUGCAUGCUUUUCGUGAUUUGUUCAUUGCGUGAUUUGAACUCUGAAGGAACACAAAAACCCACCCUAUCCCACCCUUUAGAAUAUUUUUUCUGCUGUUUGUUGUAUAUUUUCAGAUAUUGCCAAAAGAAGCGUCAUGGAUUGGACA
This 728-nucleotide long non-coding RNA is filed under the name Mytilus galloprovincialis (Mediterranean mussel). The record is from RNAcentral. Lineage: Eukaryota; Metazoa; Mollusca; Bivalvia; Mytilida; Mytilidae.